This is a long non-coding RNA of Magnolia sinica, 490 nucleotides long. RefSeq lists it as uncharacterized. The record is from RefSeq and is a predicted model, not a curated record. The transcript is spliced from 3 exons. NCBI's taxonomy places the organism in Eukaryota, Viridiplantae, Streptophyta, Magnoliopsida, Magnoliales, Magnoliaceae.
GCAACCAACAUAAUCUCAAGUGAUAAAUAUUCUGUUUGUCAUAUGUGAUAUUUAAAGCAUGUUGUAAGUUUUCCUGUCCAUGGAUAGGCCUUGCAUGAUAGCAAACACAGUGGGCUUCUAUCUCUCAAAGUUAGUGCCUUGACUUGAGAAAUUCUUCAGAUGUUCUUAGAUUGGGAUUAGAAAAACCCUAUUAGCAGAAGUACCAGUUAUUAAUCUGCAUUGAGCUAUCUAUAUUUUGCCGUCUCUCUUCAUCACUAGAGUAAUUCUACCCUUAAAAGAGUAUUGAAAUCCUUAUCAUGCUAUUUAGGUUCCCUUUUUGCAGGUGCAAGCUAGUCUUUCUGCACUUGAAGAUGUAAGGGAGGCAGGAUAUGAAUAUUUCAAGAUGACUCUUGGACAAAUCAUAAGAAACUAAAUGGAAGUCGAAAGGAUGAGAUGUCUCAUGAGAUGUCUGUGGGAACUGAUCCUCUGGAGAAAGCAUUAAUCAUUCUGU